CUUUGAAUCCCAAGAGAAGUAUCCAUUUUUUAUUGAGAUGGCGGGUUGUCCUGUCUCAAGAGGAGGGUUUGGUAGAAGGAUCCUCUCUUCAGCCAGAAGUAGUUCCUCCAAACGCUUUAGGGAUACAUUUGNNNNNNUGGGUAAUAAUAUUAGGAAGCAUAAAGAGGGGAAAGCGAAGCACGGCAAACAGGGAAAGUGAUGUAAAUGCCCUUGCAGGUGUCAGAUCUCCCCCAAGCAAAG
Molecule: unclassified non-coding RNA, 240 nt
Filed under: Hevea brasiliensis (rubber tree)
Lineage: Eukaryota; Viridiplantae; Streptophyta; Magnoliopsida; Malpighiales; Euphorbiaceae
Source: RNAcentral